Molecule: long non-coding RNA, 3077 nt
Organism: Betta splendens (Siamese fighting fish)
Lineage: Eukaryota; Metazoa; Chordata; Actinopteri; Anabantiformes; Osphronemidae
Exons: 4
Source: RefSeq, a predicted model, not a curated record
GGGGCAAACACGGAGUGAGUCACGCGGCGAGGAUGAGGAGCGAAGGCACGAAAUAACAGCAGAUCUGCAGGAAACACUGAGCUAUUAUUUGGAAUCAUUUCACACGGACUUCCUGAUUUACCAAGUUCUGUCGCAGCCAUUGCUCAGCUGCAUCUCAGUUAAUAACUACCUACGAACUGAACUGCCUGAUCUUGUGCUGGAACACGAUACCGCGUUUUCACACUCUGGUUUAGCGCAUUUGUAAGGAACAAACAACUGCUGUGAGGCUGACGACAAGUUCCUCUUUGACUGAAGUAAGACGACAAGGACAAAACAGCCACAGCCAGAAAGUUGAGUCCGCCCAGGCGUCCGACCAGGUCGCCAUGAUCCACCCCCGCGCCGUGUGACAGACACUGGAGCCCGGCAGCGAACGGACGCGUCAUUGAAUGUGAAUUCAUGAAAAGCAGCAGAUUCAGGCAGUCAACGGAAUGACUGGGUCAAACCCACGACGUGUGACUUGAGGUUUGACGCUGGAAGCCCUCGGGUCACACAGGAAGGAGGCCGCCCCGAGGUGCAAGACCUCAUCCAGACAGUCCUCCGGUGGCUUUGAUGGAGUCUGAAGUUGCACUGGGGAGGAUUUCCUUCCUCGCGCCGCCGUCAAACGCAACAGAAACAACCCCCGGCGCUGGGCGUUUCAGGGCGCGCUGCUCAGCGAAGCAAGCGGUUUAGCCAUGUGACGCUCUGCGCUUCUCUGCCCAGAAACAAGGCGACAGUCACACCUCCCCGCCGUCAGAGCAAAACAAACCCAAACUCAUGGUAUUCACUCGGUGCUGGACGUGAAGGUCCAAACGGGCCUCUUUGACAGAGUUCACCUCCUUUUCUUUGGUGGCGGUCGCACUGAGCACAGGGAGCCGUCGUCUCCCGCGCAUCAAUAUCCGUUCCGAUCACAUGAAAAGUGACGCAAGCCUGGACCGCUAUCGCCUCAGCUGUUGGAUAAAUGGAGGUGUUUUUCCACCAUUUCGCAACGUGUCAAGUACGAGAUGUGCGACCUGCCGACAACAAACACUUUAAAAGGCGCGAGUCAAGGUUGCACAACAAGUAGCAGGAGCGUCUGAUUCUCCAUCAAAUGGUGCAAAACACGCCAGCCGAGCCCACGGGUGUGCGUUUGUGCGUCUGUGCGCUUUGUGCCGCGGCUCAUCGCCUUCCUUCCUCCCGGCGGAGCCGCUUGAGGACGGCACCGGGGCGACCGGGAGCCGCGCGCCAACUGGCACACGGCGCCAGUCCGCGAGCUCAGCUUUUACAUAACGAUGACAUCAUCCCCAGCGCCACUUAGCACAAUACGAGUUGCCACGGCGAGAACCCACCGGAGAGGGAGAAAGGGGGCGAUUUGCUGAAUUAUUGAUGUCGAAGGGGAUCGAAUAACCAAUAUUUUAAUGACAUUUUAUAACCAGCGCGUUGCAUUUAGUUCAGUAGUAUAUGUUCAUGUGUUAUAUCUGGAAUAAACCGCAACCUCACUGGUUAGACUUCGGUUUGAAAGAAAGGUAACUCUCCAGUUCACCAGAUUAACCAGAAAACCAGCGUUCUAUGGAAGAUAUUUUGUUUUCCACAGCUUUGGGCAAAGAUCCAGAAGAAUGUGAUAAAUUAGAUUUCUUUGUUUUUAAGAUUAUCCUUCUAUUACCCCAUCACAAUUAAGCCACUCUUUAUGAUGAGGAGCCACUGGGAGACAUCAAAAUACUAAACGCUGAAACAGAGGUCUGUGGAGACAAACCGUAGCAACAUAUGUUCAAUAGCCUCGUCUAGUUCCUCUGAAGUUGUGAACCUGAUACACUUGUCAUCUCGUGUCACUUUGUGGUUUUUCAGCUCAUGAAAUGAACCCGUUUCCCAUUUGGGAGCGCGAGGGGCGGGGCGGCGGCCUGUUUGACGGGACAUUCCCACCACGCGCCCUCGCGCCCCCUUCCUCAGGCUUCCUGCUGCUGCCUGACCCGUUUUGGGUGGAAUAAGCAGGAGGGAGGAGGAGGCAGAGAAGAAGCAGCGGAGUGAUUCAGCAUGAGCAAGCAGAAACGCGGCGCGUCCGCUCGCGCAGAUAGACUUGCUGUUGUUGAGGCUCCAGCUUUUAGCAGCUGCACAACGGCUGCUAUUGUGCAGCGGCAGUCACAGUCACACAGUGGGAGCUUAGUGUCCUCCAUCAUGUCCUAAAGUUUGCUUUAAGACACUAUACGAUGCACUUUGCCCGUUCCUGUGCUCCUGUCACGUGCUCAGCAGCUGGACCAAAGGUUGAGGCUUCUUGAGCAUCAGGCCGUGACUCAAUCAAACGGACGCUCCGUCUCUCGCCUCCCGGACCUGCCUCCAGGUGAAAGGCCACCUGCGAUAACCUGCGGUCACGUGACUGCCGCCGCGGCGUGUCGCGGGGUUAGAAGGAGCGCUGGCAUGGCUGUUGUUGAUCAGUACGGCGUAAAGAUGGCACUCACCCGCCAGUCCUCCGCCUCCAUCCCCGUGGCCCUUCCGUUUCUGCAGGAUGAAAUACGGAUUCGCUCUCUCGGUGAUCCACAGCGCGCCCGCCAGCAGCACAUCUUCCGGGCUGACCCACAUAUUCCUUGUUUUUAAGGGAGCAUUGAACACACGGGACCGCAGACGGCGACCAUCAAAGCUGGUUCUACCGGAGAUGUGCGACUGGGACGAGGAAGGAUUCCGAAUAUCCUGGAGAAGCCGUCGACGGCCCGGUGCUUCCUCAAACGACCCCCCUCUCGGUGUCGCCUGCUACUGGAUGUCCGGUGAAAAAUUUAUGCUGCCUGUUUAUGCUAUAGGCUUUUUUCUGCCCAGCUGAAAGUGGCUGAGCUCCGCACCGCGGCCCAUUCUGGCAGCAAUGUAGCAUCAUUCCUCUCCCUCUUCGAAAACCCGUUGAAGCCAGCGGCAGGUAAUAUCGGCCAGUUGCUGGCCGUCACAGAAACUCUUGGAAGGGACAAGUGUCUUGUUUUUCCAGCCACUAACAGUGGAUGAAGAAAAGAAGAGGCUAAAUGAAGAAUUUGUGGCUUUCUAACAACUGUCUGCUUUGAAUUAAAAUAAAACGCUGCUGAACGACUCAUGCAACUAACCACAAA